This 576-nucleotide ribosomal RNA is filed under the name uncultured marine eukaryote. RNAcentral describes it as "bacterial SSU rRNA". It matches the Rfam family "Eukaryotic small subunit ribosomal RNA", at positions 619 to 1200 of the family's 1831-position model. The record is from RNAcentral.
UUAAAAAGCUCGUAGUUGGAUUUCUGUGAAAAACCAACGGUCUCAUUCUUAAUGAUGCAUCUGUUUGGGUUUUUACAUCUUUUCGCAAACUGUAUUCUUGCUUCAUUGCAAGGUAUAGCGUGCGAAACUUUUACUUUGAGGAAAUUAGAGUGUUCAUAGCAAGCAAACGCUUUGAAUAUAUUAGCAUGGAAUAAUAACAUAAGACUGAGUCUUGAUUUUAUUGGUUUCUUAGGACUUAGUAAUGAUAAAUAGGGAUAAUUGGGGCCAUUUCUACUGACGCGUCAGAGGUGGAAUUCUUGGAUUGCGUCAUGAGAAACUACUGCGAAAGCAUUUGGCAAGGAUGUUUUCAUUGAUCAAGAACGAAAGUUUGGGGAUCGAAGAUGAUUAGAUACCGUCGUAGUCCAAACCAUAAACUAUGCCAACUAGAGAUGUGCCAGUGAUUUUUUCGGUCCUGGUGUGCACCUUAUGAGAAAUCAAAGUCUUUGGGUUCCGGGGAGAGUAUGGUCGCAAGGCUGAAACUUAAAGGAAUUGACGGAAGGGCACCACCAGGAGUGGAGCCUGCGGCUUAAUUUGACU